Molecule: ribosomal RNA, 812 nt
Filed under: uncultured bacterium
Lineage: Bacteria
Description: bacterial SSU rRNA
Rfam family: Bacterial small subunit ribosomal RNA
Source: RNAcentral
AGAGUUUGAUCAUGGCUCAGAACGAACGCUGGCGGCGUUAACACAUGCAAGUCGAACGAGAAACUCCGAGCUUGCUCGGAGGAGUAAAGUGGCGCACGGGUGAGUAACGCGUGGGUAACCUACCCCCGAAAUCGGGAUAACUCCGCGAAAGCGGUGCUAAUACCGAAUGUAGUCCCAAAGAUUGUGGUCUAUGGGAUAAAAGGUGACCUCUUCAUGAAAGUUGCCGUUCAGGGAUGGGCCCGCGUACCAUUAGCUUGUUGGUAGGGUAACGGCCUACCAAGGCCUCGAUGGUUAGCUGGUCUGAGAGGAUGAUCAGCCACACUGGAACUGGAACACGGUCCAGACUCCUACGGGAGGCAGCAGUGAGGAAUUUUGCGCAAUGGGGGAAACCCUGACGCAGCAACGCCGCGUGAGUGAAGAAGGCUUUCGGGUUGUAAAGCUCUGUCAAGCGGGAAAAAAAGCUCGCGAUCAAUAGUCGCGAGACUUGAUGGUACCGCUAAAGGAAGCACCGGCUAACUCCGUGCCAGCAGCCGCGGUAAUACGGAGGGUGCAAGCGUUGUUCGGAAUUAUUGGGCGUAAAGCGCGUGUAGGCGGUAAGGUAAGUCAGAUGUGAAAGCCCUGGGCUCAACCCGGGAAGUGCAUUUGAUACUGCCUUUCUUGAGUAUGGGAGAGGAGAGUGGAAUUCCCAGUGUAGAGGUGAAAUUCGUAGAUAUUGGGAGGAACAUCCGUGGCGAAGGCGACUCUCUGGACCAAUACUGACGCUGAGNNNCGAAAGCGUGGGGAGCAAACAGGAUUAGAUACCCUAGUAGUCC